UACGUAGGGGGCAAGCGUUGUCCGGAAUCAUUGGGCGUAAAGAGCGCGUAGGCGGCCCAGUAAGUCCGCUCUGAAAGUCAGGGGCUCAACCCUCGAAUGCCGGUGGAUACUGUCGGGCUAGAGUACGGAAGAGGCGAGCGGAAUUCCUGGUGUAGCGGUGAAAUGCGCAGAUAUCAGGAGGAACACCAAUUGCGAAGGCAGCUCGCUGGAACGUAACUGACGCUGAGACGCGAAAGCGUGGGGAGCAAACAGG
RNAcentral lists this ribosomal RNA (253 nucleotides) under uncultured bacterium. RNAcentral's name for it is "partial 16S ribosomal RNA". It matches the Rfam family "Bacterial small subunit ribosomal RNA", at positions 524 to 776 of the family's 1533-position model. The record is from RNAcentral.